Molecule: ribosomal RNA, 472 nt
Filed under: uncultured bacterium
Lineage: Bacteria
Description: bacterial SSU rRNA
Rfam family: Bacterial small subunit ribosomal RNA
Source: RNAcentral
UCGGGAAUUUUGGGCAAUGGGCGCAAGCCUGAUCCAGCCAUACCGCGUGAGUGAAGAAGGCCUUCGGGUUGUAAAGCUCUUUCAGACGGAAAGAAACGGUUACGGCUAAUACCCGUGACUAAUGACGGUACCGUAAGAAGAAGCACCGGCUAACUACGUGCCAGCAGCCGCGGUAAUACGUAGGGUGCGAGCGUUAAUCGGAAUUACUGGGCGUAAAGCGUGCGCAGGCGGUUAUAUAAGACAGAUGUGAAAUCCCCGGGCUCAACCUGGGACCUGCAUUUGUGACUGUAUAGCUAGAGUACGGUAGAGGGGGAUGGAAUUCCGCGUGUAGCAGUGAAAUGCGUAGAUAUGCGGAGGAACACCGAUGGCGAAGGCAAUCCCCUGGACCUGCACUGACGCUCAUGCACGAAAGCGUGGGGAGCAAACAGGAUUAGAUACCCUUGUAGUCCCUGAGCGGGCUGGCAAGGCGCAU